RNAcentral lists this ribosomal RNA (345 nucleotides) under Triticum aestivum (bread wheat). Its description in RNAcentral is "partial small subunit ribosomal RNA". Lineage: Eukaryota; Viridiplantae; Streptophyta; Magnoliopsida; Poales; Poaceae. The record is from RNAcentral.
AUGGGCGGCUCUGGCCGGUCGUCCGGGUCGCGCAGGACGGUGGGGAGGCGUCGCAGGCCUGCUGAUCGGGAGCUCGAGGUGACCGGGUUGGAGAAAGGAGGGCAGGUAGGGAGGACGAGGGGGAGAGGGAAAGAGGUAGCUGCGCUGUGGACCAGGGAGGACGACGACUCCGGGCGCGGGGCCUCGCUCCUCCCCCUGGCGAUGCAAGGAAGAAGGAGGGGAUCGAGGGCGAUGGCUUCUGGCGGCGGCGAUGGGAACGAGGAAAAGAGGGAGCGAGGCUGCGAGGGAGAUGGGGGAGUCGGGCUAGGUUUAGAGCAGUUAGGUGGGCCGGCUGGAUGGGCCUAA